GCUGCUCUGCACUUAACUGGAGGGAGGGCAGUGACAAGCUGGGAUCUCCUAGCCCACACUGCAGCUCCUGCUCAGUGCUGAGGGGAGGUGGGAGCUGAGCAGCACUGGGACUGGGGUGGGGAAAAAGAGAAGUGGGUACCCCAGGCUGCUGCAGGGGAGUGCAUUAAUUGCAAGUUUAGACGUAUCCACUGAGCAGUAAAAUUUGAGAAACUGUACAGAAUCUGCAUACAGAAAAUGGGAAGAAGUGGGAACAUGUGCCACAGGUUGGGUACCCCUGCUCUAAGGGGUGUGUACUUGUUUUUAUGAAAUAUUACUUUCACAGAAAGGAAAAGUUGCACAAAUACUUUGAAAUCAGAAAACAUAGUACCAGGUUCUACAGGAUGCUCUGUUUAAGCUGCUACAGUGUACUUUUCUAGUGGGAUCCAGAGGAACUGAACCCUAAAUCAUGUAAACUCAGAAGUUUUACUAUUAAAGGAAUGGCACUCCUCACAUGGGUACAUUUUAUACUGGGAUAAUCACAUGUACAACUAGUUUAACUGCUCUUGUACCUAGGGGCUUUAUCCAUACAAAAAUGUGGUUUGGGGUGGGGGUAGGGGGGGCAGGGUUAUCACAUGCCUAAACAGCAGCUAUAUUGGUUUAAAAAAAAAAGUUUUGUAUUUUCAGCUUAGAGGUAAUAGGGUGUUCCUCCAGAAGAUGCCCAUAAAAUCCUUACCCACUGUUGGGACUCCCAACGCAGUGCACCAGCACUCUACCACUGCAUGCUUAUAUAUACACAACUUGGAGCAUUAGUGACCUCUGCUUUCCACUUCCACAUCUGGAGGCAGCUCAGCCAAGGACUAACUUGGGUUUCAUUACAAUGCAAAAUCUUAGGACUAAUACAGCCCAAAAGUUCACUUUUUAAAAGAUCCAACAGAAAAACUUGUAAUCUAAUAACCUGUUCAAUACUGCAUUUCAAAUUAUGGGUCACCUUAUUUGUGACUAAUGAAAAUCAGCCUCUUUUUUUU
Long non-coding RNA from Gavialis gangeticus (Gharial), 1004 nucleotides. RefSeq lists it as uncharacterized. The transcript has 2 exons. NCBI's taxonomy places the organism in Eukaryota, Metazoa, Chordata, Crocodylia, Gavialidae. The record is from RefSeq and is a predicted model, not a curated record.